GAUCCUGGCUCAGAUUGAACGCUGGCGGCAGGCCUAACACAUGCAAGUCGAACGGUAACAGAAAGCAGCUUGCUGCUUUGCUGACGAGUGGCGGACGGGUGAGUAAUGUCUGGGAAACUGCCCGAUGGAGGGGGAUAACUACUGGAAACGGUAGCUAAUACCGCAUAACGUCGCAAGACCAAAGAGGGGGACCUUCGGGCCUCUUGCCAUCGGAUGUGCCCAGAUGGGAUUAGCUAGUAGGGUAGGGG
Molecule: ribosomal RNA, 248 nt
Filed under: uncultured bacterium
Lineage: Bacteria
Description: partial 16S ribosomal RNA
Rfam family: Bacterial small subunit ribosomal RNA
Source: RNAcentral